RNAcentral lists this long non-coding RNA (216 nucleotides) under Manihot esculenta (cassava). RNAcentral describes it as "long non-coding RNA (MESC_LNC011302)". Lineage: Eukaryota; Viridiplantae; Streptophyta; Magnoliopsida; Malpighiales; Euphorbiaceae. The record is from RNAcentral.
ACAAGCAAAGGAAGGCUGGACAGGGCACCUUCGGCAGCACCUUCGGCGGCUGAAUGUCUCCUCCAGAGACGAAAGUCGGGCAUGUUCGGCGGCCGAAUCCUUCUUCGGCUGCCGAACCUGAGUUCAUCCAGAACUCAGCUUCGUGCAUAAACACGCCUUCCAGUCCCUCCAAUCCUUCCCAAUAUGCAUCCAACCUCUCUAACUCCUCUAUAUCCC